Molecule: long non-coding RNA, 1000 nt
Filed under: Junco hyemalis (dark-eyed junco)
Lineage: Eukaryota; Metazoa; Chordata; Aves; Passeriformes; Passerellidae
Description: lncRNA (ENSJHYG00000008036.1)
Source: RNAcentral
GGACGGGGGAGCGCGCCCGCCUUUUCGGCGGGAAACCGCUCCCGGGCUCAAUGCGCGUGCGCAGUGGCGAGAGCCGAGCUGAGGGAAGCUUCGGCUGUUCCCGGCAGGUUCCGGAGACGAGAGUCUCGCUGCUCCCCGCCCUCAUCCCUUCGGGUAUCUCCGCCCCCGCUUCGCCUAUCUCCGCCCCCGCUUCGGCUAUCACCGCCUCUCUUCGUUAAGUUCCGCCGCCACUUCGGCAACUUCCGCCGGUUCGGUCGGAAAUGGCCGAAGACGUGCGAGACCCAGCGGUUUAAGGGGAGAAGACCGGCCGGCUUCUCGGAAUAAACCAACUGUGUCCGGCCCGUGGGGGGGGGAGCAGGGGAGGGCGGACGGAGCGGGAAGACGAGACAGCGGCUAUGGCUCCCCCCCCAGCCACUCGCGGCUCCGCCGGGAGGGCGAAGUGAGGGCGCCGAGAGGCAUCUCUCCUAGGAAGACCUUGGUGCUUCUAAAUGAAUCUGCCGCCUACCUUGUGUGCCAUCAUUUGAAUGUGGGCAUUGAGGAGGAGCCAGCUAUUGGAAAAGCAGCCAGAGAUGGAUGCCCUGGAAAGGUGCCACUAAUUCCUGUGGCAGCUGACAAUUAGCUGUUAAGCCUUGCCUUGCAAAGUUCUCAAGGGUGCAUCCCGAAACAAAAACAAGGACCUGGAGAAAGGGGAGAGCUGUCCUUGUACCGAUCUUGUGGGGUGGUUGUUAAAAGCAGGAGGUGGAGCUGAUUCUGAGGUUGUUCCUUUCCAGCAGAGCAGGUCAGAUUUGCUGGACCCAAAAGCAUUUUGGUUUGUUUUGCUGCUGGGCUCUGUGAUAGUCCACAAACUUCUUACACUCCUUAUCUUUAAAAUAGGUUUGAGGCUGCCGUUCUUCACAGGGAAAGCUGUAAAUUAGUAACAUCUUCAAAGUGUCAUUGUUGAUGUGAAUCUGAGAAUUUUUAACAAAAAUCAAGAUGUAAUAAAAAAAAGAUUCAAAGAAAU